Long non-coding RNA from Cucumis sativus (cucumber), 1826 nucleotides. RefSeq lists it as uncharacterized. Lineage: Eukaryota; Viridiplantae; Streptophyta; Magnoliopsida; Cucurbitales; Cucurbitaceae. The record is from RefSeq and is a predicted model, not a curated record. The transcript is spliced from 2 exons.
UUGGUUCAAGUUGAGAGUUCGACAGAAACAAGUUAUUUUGGAAGAAGUUCUAACGUGUCAAGAAAUCGACUUCUUCUUCUUGUUGGCUUCUUGAUCAAAAUGGUGAGUAUGCAUCACAGUUACUAUCAAGAACACUCUGUCAAUCCUCGUGAUUCUGCUGUUCGUUCCAACAUACACCCGGUCUGAAUGCGUGGUAAGCGGGUUAAGAUUGUUCCUUCACGCCGUCCGUAUGUUCGCCUUGCUGAUCGAGGUAAUAACAAAGUACCAGUUCCUUCAUUUUUGAAAGGAAAAGGGCCUGUGACUUCGAGCAGCCUCAGAGUUUAUCUGACUCUUCUAGUAGUUCAUCAGAUCCUUUGCCCCAACAGCAUCCCUGGACCCCUCAUUCUGGGCACAUUUCGACUAUUUGUCCAUCUCAUGAUAUUCCAACUGGGCCCACUGCUCCUUCCCCAUCCAUGGGUCGUGAAUCUGUCCUUCCUCCCACUACAGCUCGGACAUCUAAUCCUCUAUCUCCACCUCAGUCCACGACUUCACCCAAGCCCCAGGGUGUCACCAUCAAAACUGGUAGACGUCGACUUCCACACAAUAUUCCUUCUGUUCCCAUUGAUAGCAUAUCUUUUCAUCAUGAAGAGAAUGCUCAGAGGUGGAAGUAUGUUGUACAACGACAUUUGGCCGAUGAAUUGAAUGUCUCUGAUAAGCAUCAGUCCUGUGUGACCAUUAUAGACUUGAUUAGUCAAGUUUGGUCUAUCUCGUACCAUCCUGAAUGUUAGGUCGUUCUAUCCAAGACUCAUUUGGGAAGUUAUUGCCAAUCUGCCAUCUAACUUUGAUGACCCUAGUAGCACUAAUUAUUAGACAAUUCAUGUAAGUGGUCGUCGAGUUUUGAUAUCUCCUUUAGUGAUUAAUGUGUUUCUUGGGUUGUCAACAUCUUUGGAUAUUGCUCUUACCAACCUUUCAACUGUAGUUUUGGCUUUUCUGUUGACUGGUGGCUCCCUUACUGUUUGGCCCCUGACGGGUAUUCCUAUUGCCUCCUUGAGUGUUAACUGUGCGAUUCUUCACAAGAUUGGCAUUGCAAACUGGUUUCCUUCUUCUCAUGCCUCCAAUGUAUCUGUUGCGCUUUCUAAGUUCUUGUUUUGGAUUGGUACAGGCUCUACUGUUGAUGCUAGUUUGUUUAUUUACAAUCAACUUUUACGUCAUGUUGGUACCUUUGGUGUCAAGAUUCUGAUUGCUCUACCUCACUUCUUCUCUAGUUUGAUUAUCCAUUUGCAUCUUGAUAUUUUAAGGGACUUUGAUGCCCCUGGCCCCCGCCCCCGCAUGUUAUCACUGAGUUAUAGACUGUUUCAAGGCUCUCAUGUCCCGAUAUUGAGCACAUAGUUCAUCCCAACCGCUCUGCCAAUCCCUUUGUGUCUGAUGACGUUUCUGCUUCCUCUGUUGGUGCUAAAAUGGUUGUUGGUGACAUUUCCCGCAUUUUAAAUUCUCUAUUUGGUGAAUCUUGGGCAUUGAGCACUUCUAUUUCAUUACUGAGAAGGGUGGAAAUUGAUGCUCUCAUUCGCUAUCUAAAAAUGUUUCUAUCUUCAUCUGAAAAUGUUCCUCCUCCGUCUCCUUAGAUACUUUCUUUGCUCAAAGGAGGAGAGAAGUGUGGGGUGUGUUGUUGUUUUGGGUAUUGUGCUACUGUUUUUGCUUGAUAGUAUAAACGUGUACUGUGAAAUUUUGGGUGAAUUUUCGAACAAAUAUAAUGGUUGGCUUCUUUCUUUUUGUAGUCUAUGAUUUGUUAUUGAAAAUGAAUGAAUGGGUGAACUCCUACAGUGUGUGUGGCUUCUGGCUUGUCUUGA